RNAcentral lists this ribosomal RNA (253 nucleotides) under uncultured bacterium. RNAcentral's name for it is "partial 16S ribosomal RNA". It matches the Rfam family "Bacterial small subunit ribosomal RNA", at positions 524 to 776 of the family's 1533-position model. The record is from RNAcentral.
UACGGGGGGGGCAAGCGUUGUUCGGAAUUACUGGGCGUAAAGGGCUCGUAGGCGGCCAACUAAGUCGGACGUGAAAUCCCCAGGCUCAACCUGGGAACUGCGUCCGUUACUGGAUGGCUUGAAUUCGGGAGAGGGAUGCAGAAUUCCAGGUGUAGCGGUGAAAUGCGUAGAUAUCUGGAGGAAUACCGGUGGCGAAGGCGGCAUCCUGGACCGACAUUGACGCUGAGGAGCGAAAGCUAGGGGAGCAAACGGG